UGCCUACUAUCGUCUUUGUCUGGUCUGGUUUGCUCUCCAUUAUUAUUUCUCUGCUUUGGGUGUACAUAAGCCCUCCAUCUGGAAGGCAAGACUACAUGAACUUCCACUUCCCUUGAUGAUGAUGAUUGUGUUUGUUGUUUUCCUUCUGUUUGCCAUGUAGUUUAGGUCUAGUGUAGGAAAAAUGAAUAUGAAGUUUCUCAACUUCAUUUUGUAGCUUGCUGUAUUGUCUUCUUCAUUUUGUAUGUAAUUUGGAUUUCAAGUGCCUACUAUCGUCUUCCAAGACUUACAUGAACUUCCACUUCCCUUGAUGAUGAUGAUUGUGUUUGUUGUUUUCCUUAUGUUUGCCAUGUAGUUUAGGUCUAGUGUAGGAAAAAUGAAUAUGAAGUUUCUCAACUUCAUUUUGUAGCUU
This 409-nucleotide long non-coding RNA is filed under the name Carica papaya (papaya). RNAcentral describes it as "long non-coding RNA (CPAP_LNC005419)". The record is from RNAcentral. Lineage: Eukaryota; Viridiplantae; Streptophyta; Magnoliopsida; Brassicales; Caricaceae.